Molecule: ribosomal RNA, 273 nt
Filed under: Planctomycetaceae bacterium
Lineage: Bacteria; Pseudomonadati; Planctomycetota; Planctomycetia; Planctomycetales; Planctomycetaceae
Description: partial 16S ribosomal RNA
Rfam family: Bacterial small subunit ribosomal RNA
Source: RNAcentral
UUUUUGAAGGGUUUGAUCCUGGCUCAGAAUGAACGUUGGCGGCGUGGAUUAGGCAUGCAAGUCGAGCGAGAAUUUGCGAUUGGAAGCUUCGGCCGAAGAGAGCGAAGGAAAGCGGCAAACGGCGUAGUAAGGCGUAGGUACGUGCCCUCAGAUCGGGAAUAGCCACGGGAAACUGUGGGUAAUGCCCGAUAAUGUUUGAGGACCAAAGGUGAGAUUCCGUCUGAGGAGCGGCUUACGUGAUAUUAGCUAGUUGGUGAGGUAAUGGCUCACCAA